This 338-nucleotide ribosomal RNA is filed under the name uncultured bacterium. RNAcentral describes it as "bacterial SSU rRNA". It matches the Rfam family "Bacterial small subunit ribosomal RNA", at positions 9 to 347 of the family's 1533-position model. The record is from RNAcentral.
GAGUUUGAUCAUGGCUCAGAUUGAACGCUGGCGGCAUGCCUUACACAUGCAAGUCGAACGGCAGCACGGGAGCAAUCCUGGUGGCGAGUGGCGAACGGGUGAGUAAUAUAUCGGAACGUGCCCAGUCGUGGGGGAUAACGUAGCGAAAGCUACGCUAAUACCGCAUACGAUCUACGGAUGAAAGCGGGGGACUCGCAAGAGCCUCGCGCGAUUGGAGCGGCCGAUAUCAGAUUAGGUUGUUGGUGAGGUAAAAGCUCACCAAGCCUGCGAUCUGUAGCUGGUCUGAGAGGACGACCAGCCACACUGGAACUGAGACACGGUCCAGACUCCUACGGGAG